RNAcentral lists this long non-coding RNA (1394 nucleotides) under Olea europaea subsp. europaea. The record is from RNAcentral. Lineage: Eukaryota; Viridiplantae; Streptophyta; Magnoliopsida; Lamiales; Oleaceae.
GUUGCAGAGGAGGCAGCAGCAAAAGAGGGAGAGGCUGCGGAGGCCCUGAAGAAGCCUCGACUCGUAAGGACUUCAGGAAAGUCUGUUAGUUUAUUGGCAGGUCGUGAGGAGGAUAUAGCCCCUUCACUACUGGAUGCUUUACCUGCUGGGGUCCUGGGUGCUGCUGCAUAUUCUUACAAAUUCUGAAUGGACCGGUGGCAGACAUAUACAUCCACUUGUGAUGCUGUGGAUCUCACCAAAGCAAUGGUAAGUCAAAGUGUCCAAACCUUGGGCAUAGCGCUAGAGUGUUAGAAGGUUCUUGCUGACAUCUAGAGGAGGAAUAAGGCCUCAGUUGACAGGUUGGCCUCCACUGAGGAGGAACUAAAGAAAAUAAGGGCCAAAGCGAAGGAGAUAAAGGCCCAGAUAGUUGAAGACUUAGCAAAGUUGGAAUAUGCUAUGGCCCAAAUUGAGACUCAGAGAUAGGAAGUAUAUGAGUCUCAGUAUGAAGUGGCUUCUCUGACUAAGAAGGUGGAAACAUCUGAUAAGCACUAGAAGCUUACAUCUGAGGCUUUAGAAAAGGCCAAUUCGGACCUUGCUGGGCCAGGGAUGCCAACCAAUUUUUAAAAGGUCAAAUAAAGUGGUAUAUAAAUAACGCCAAGGAUGCUAGGGUCGAGGCUGAGGUGGCAAGAGAGGAGGCAGUAAAGGAGUAUAUAACCAACUUCUACCUCACCGAAGACUACCAACAUGUUGGGGCUUAUCAGAGGAACUAGGCCUACGCUAAAGUGCUGGGAAGGGCCGGGAAGCUUGACCAUUAUAAGCUCAAAGCAGAAUUAUAUACCACUUUGCGGAAUCAAGGUCUGAGUUUGUGGACGAAGUGCUUCGAACUCUAGCCAAAAAAGGAGUAGAUGAAGCAGACGGAAAGGAAAAUGUCAAAAAACCUUCAGAGAUUCCUACUACUAAGGCACCCCCUUGCCAGCCAUCCCCAACUUAGGAUGGUUUUCUUGAGAUAACAACUAUGUAAUGGCCUCAGGCCCUUCUCUUAAUAUGAAUUGUCCAUUAACAAAACGAAAUGUUUUCCAAGUAUUUCAUGUUCAUCUUCUUAUGUUAUACUUGACCAUUAUAAGCUCAAAGCGCCAUUACAAACUUAAAGCCGAGAUACAUAAUUGGAUUAACUAAUAGAUAAUAGGCAACAACUUCAUGUUCAAAGACUUCGUUGCUGGACGAAUGAUAUAUAUGAUCUUUUGAAUAGAGCACUCAACAUUUCAAGUUAAUUACUUCACUUUAAGAUAUACGAAGCUUUGUUAUACCAAGUUUUGUCAAUUAUUACUUAACCUUGUCAAUAUUAAGUGGUUGGGGUUUAUUUAUGCAGAGGCUUCUCUUAUUUAACGUUCAGCUUUGUCAAAGAGGGGGAUGUG